Molecule: ribosomal RNA, 777 nt
Filed under: Enterococcus faecium
Lineage: Bacteria; Bacillati; Bacillota; Bacilli; Lactobacillales; Enterococcaceae
Description: bacterial SSU rRNA
Rfam family: Bacterial small subunit ribosomal RNA
Source: RNAcentral
UAANUGANGUUUCAUCNUGGCUCAGGACGAACGCUGGCGGCGUGCNUAAUACAUGCAAGUCGAACGCUUCUUUUUCCACCGGAGCUUGCUCCACCGGAAAAAGAAGAGUGGCGAACGGGUGAGUAACACGUGGGUAACCUGCCCAUCAGAAGGGGAUAACACUUGGAAACAGGUGCUAAUACCGUAUAACAAUCAAAACCGCAUGGUUUUGAUUUGAAAGGCGCUUUCGGGUGUCGCUGAUGGAUGGACCCGCGGUGCAUUAGCUAGUUGGUGAGGUAACGGCUCACCAAGGCCACGAUGCAUAGCCGACCUGAGAGGGUGAUCGGCCACAUUGGGACUGAGACACGGCCCAAACUCCUACGGGAGGCAGCAGUAGGGAAUCUUCGGCAAUGGACGAAAGUCUGACCGAGCAACGCCGCGUGAGUGAAGAAGGUUUUCGGAUCGUAAAACUCUGUUGUUAGAGAAGAACAAGGAUGAGAGUAACUGUUCAUCCCUUGACGGUAUCUAACCAGAAAGCCACGGCUAACUACGUGCCAGCAGCCGCGGUAAUACGUAGGUGGCAAGCGUUGUCCGGAUUUAUUGGGCGUAAAGCGAGCGCAGGCGGUUUCUUAAGUCUGAUGUGAAAGCCCCCGGCUCAACCGGGGAGGGUCAUUGGAAACUGGGAGACUUGAGUGCAGAAGAGGAGAGUGGAAUUCCAUGUGUAGCGGUGAAAUGCGUAGAUAUAUGGAGGAACACCAGUGGCGAAGGCGGCUCUCUGGUCUGUAACUGACGNGAGGC